RNAcentral lists this ribosomal RNA (466 nucleotides) under uncultured bacterium. RNAcentral describes it as "partial 16S ribosomal RNA". It matches the Rfam family "Bacterial small subunit ribosomal RNA", at positions 28 to 507 of the family's 1533-position model. The record is from RNAcentral.
GAUGAACGCUGGCGGCGUGCUUAACACAUGCAAGUCGAACGAUGAAGCCCAGCUUGCCGGGUGGAUUAGUUGCGAACGGGUGAGUAACACGUGAGUAACCUGCCCUUAACUCUGGGAUAAGCCUGGUAAACUGGGUCUAAUACCGGAUAGGAGCGUCCACCGCAUGGUGGGUGUUGGAAAGAUUUAUCGGUUUUGGAUGGACUCGCGGCCUAUCAGCUUGUUGGUGAGGUAAUGGCUCACCAAGGCGACGACGGGUAGCCGGCCUGAGAGGGUGACCGGCCACAAUGGGACUGAGACACGGCCCAGACUCCUACGGGAGGCAGAAGUGGGGAAUAUUGCACAAUGGGCGCAAGCCUGAUGCAGCGACGCCGCGUGAGGGAUGACGGCCUUCGGGUUGUAAACCUCUUUCAGUAGGGAAGAAGCGAAAGUGACGGUACCUGCAGAAGAAGCACCGGCUAACUACGUG